This 482-nucleotide ribosomal RNA is filed under the name uncultured bacterium. RNAcentral's name for it is "bacterial SSU rRNA". It matches the Rfam family "Bacterial small subunit ribosomal RNA", at positions 29 to 507 of the family's 1533-position model. The record is from RNAcentral.
AUGAACGCUAGCGGCAGGCCUAACACAUGCAAGUCGAGGGGUAACGAUGGCUUCGGCCAGGCGACGACCGGCGCACGGGUGAGUAUCGCGUUUGUAACCUACCUCUAACUGGAGAAUAGCCCGAAGAAAUUCGGAUUAAUACUCCAUAAUACUAUGAUCUGGCAUCUUUUUAUAGUUAAAGCUCCGGCGGUUAGAGAUGGGCAUGCGUGACAUUAGUUUGUUGGUGAGGUAAAAGCUCACCAAGACUACGAUGUCUAGGGGGGUCUGAGAGGAUGGUCCCCCACACUGGUACUGAGACACGGACCAGACUCCUACGGGAGGCAGCAGUGAGGAAUAUUGGUCAAUGGGCGCAAGCCUGAACCAGCCAUGCCGCGUGAAGGAUGACAGCGCUAUGCGUUGUAAACUUCUUUUGUACAGGAAGAAACACUUCUACGUGUAGAAGCUUGACGGUACUGUACGAAUAAGCAUCGGCUAACUCCGUG